GCUCUGUAGCUCAGUGGUUAGAGCAGGGGAUUCAUAAGCCCAAGGUCGUAAGUUCAAAUCUCACCAGAGCCA
This 72-nucleotide transfer RNA is filed under the name Licmophora sp. RNAcentral's name for it is "tRNA-Met". It matches the Rfam family "tRNA". From Rfam's summary of the family: Transfer RNA (tRNA) molecules are approximately 80 nucleotides in length. The record is from RNAcentral. Lineage: Eukaryota; Bacillariophyta; Fragilariophyceae; Licmophorales; Licmophoraceae.